CGGGUGAGUAAUAUAUCGGAACGUGCCCUGGAGUGGGGGAUAACGCAGCGAAAGUUGCGCUAAUACCGCAUACGAUCUACGGAUGAAAGUGGGGGAUCCGCAAGGACCUCAUGCUCGUGGAGCGGCCGAUAUCUGAUUAGCUAGUUGGUAGGGUAAAAGCCUACCAAGGCAUCGAUCAGUAGCUGGUCUGAGAGGACGACCAGCCACACUGGAACUGAGACACGGUCCAGACUCCUACGGGAGGCAGCAGUGGGGAAUUUUGGACAAUGGGGGCAACCCUGAUCCAGCAAUGCCGCGUGAGUGAAGAAGGCCUUCGGGUUGUAAAGCUCUUUUGUCGGGGAAGAAACGGUUCAUCCUAAUACGAUGGACUAAUGACGGUACCCGAAGAAUAAGCACCGGCUAACUACGUGCCAGCAGCCGCGGUAAUACGUAGGGUGCAAGCGUUAAUCGGAAUUACUGGGCGUAAAGCGUGCGCAGGCGGUUAUGUAAGACAGAUGUGAAAUGCCCGGGCUCAACCUGGGAACUGCAUUUGUGACUGCAUGGCUAGAGUGUGUCAGAGGGGGGUAGAAUUCCACGUGUAGCAGUGAAAUGCGUA
RNAcentral lists this ribosomal RNA (595 nucleotides) under uncultured bacterium. Its description in RNAcentral is "bacterial SSU rRNA". It matches the Rfam family "Bacterial small subunit ribosomal RNA", at positions 103 to 692 of the family's 1533-position model. The record is from RNAcentral.